UCGAACGCAGUAGCAAUACUGAGUGGCAAACGGGUGAGUAUAAUGUGGGUAUCUGCCUUUUGGUUUGGAAUAACAUGAGGAAACUUAUGCUAAUACCGAAUAAGCCUUCACAGGGAAAGUUUUAUAUGCCGAAAGAUGAGCCCGCACUUGAUUAGUUUGUUGGUGAGGUAAUGGCUCACCAAGACAAUUAUCAAUAGCUGGUCUGAGAGGACGAUCAGCCACAUUGGGACUGAGACACGGCCCAGACUCCUACGGGAGGCAGCAGUAAGGAAUCUUGCACAAUGGGGGAAACCCUGAUGCAGCGAUGCCGCGUGAGUGAAGAAGGCCUUUGGGUUGUAAAACUCUUUCGUCGGGGAAGAAAAUGACUGUACCCGAAUAAGAAGGUCCGGCUAACUUCGUGCCAGCAGCCGCGGUAAUACGAAGGGACCUAGCGUAGUUCGGAAUUACUGGGCUUAAAGAGCUCGUAGGUGGUUGAAAAAGUUGAUGGUGAAAUCCCAAGGCUUAACCUUGGAACUGCCAUCAAAACUCUUUAGCUAGAGUGUGAUAGAGGAAAGUGGAAUUUCUAGUGUAGAGGUGAAAUUCGUAGAUAUUAGAAAGAACACCAAAUGCGAAGGCAACUUUCUGGGUCACUACUGACACUGAGGAGCGAAAGCAUGGGUAGCGAAGAGGAUUAAAUACCCUCGUAGUCCAUGCCGUAAACGAUGUGUGCUAGACGUUGGAAAUAUAUUUUUCAGUGUCGCAGCGAAAGCAUUAAGCACACCGCCUGGGGAGUACGACCGCAAGGUUAAAACUCAAAUGAAUUGACGGGGACC
This 812-nucleotide ribosomal RNA is filed under the name uncultured marine bacterium. RNAcentral's name for it is "bacterial SSU rRNA". It matches the Rfam family "Bacterial small subunit ribosomal RNA", at positions 62 to 921 of the family's 1533-position model. The record is from RNAcentral.